GACGAACGCUGGCGGCGUGCUUAACACAUGCAAGUCGAACGAUGACGACCGAGCUUGCUCGGUCUGAUUAGUGGCGAACGGGUGAGUAACACGUGAGCAACCUGCCCUUCACUCUGGGAUAACCUCGGGAAAUCGGGGCUAAUACCGGAUAUGAGCUCCUGUCGCAUGGCGGGUGUUGGAAAGUUUUUCGGUGAAGGAUGGGCUCGCGGCCUAUCAGUUUGUUGGUGAGGUAGUGGCUCACCAAGGCGAUGACGGGUAGCCGGCCUGAGAGGGCGACCGGCCAAAAUGGGAAGGAGAAAAGGCCCAGACCCCUAGGGGGGGAAGGAGUGGGGAAAAUUGCAAAAGGGGGGAAAGCCUGAGGGAGCGACGCCGGGGGGGGGAUGAGGGCCUUCGGGUGGGAAACCUUUUUCAGGAGGAAAGAAGGGAAAGUGAGGGUACCUGCAAAAGAAGCGCCGGCUAACUACGU
RNAcentral lists this ribosomal RNA (466 nucleotides) under uncultured bacterium. RNAcentral's name for it is "partial 16S ribosomal RNA". It matches the Rfam family "Bacterial small subunit ribosomal RNA", at positions 28 to 506 of the family's 1533-position model. The record is from RNAcentral.